RNAcentral lists this ribosomal RNA (433 nucleotides) under uncultured bacterium. RNAcentral's name for it is "bacterial SSU rRNA". It matches the Rfam family "Bacterial small subunit ribosomal RNA", at positions 355 to 796 of the family's 1533-position model. The record is from RNAcentral.
UCGAGGAUCUUCGGCAAUGGGCGCAAGCCUGACCGAGCGACGCCGCGUGUGCGAUGAAGGCCUUCGGGUUGUAAAGCACUGUCGAGGGGGAGAAAGCCCGCAAGGGUUGAUCGACCUCUGGAGGAAGCACGGGCUAAGUUCGUGCCAGCAGCCGCGGUAAGACGAACCGUGCGAACGUUGUUCGGAAUCACUGGGCUUAAAGGGCGCGUAGGCGGGCAACCAAGUCAGGGGUGAAAGCCCACGGCUCAACCGUGGAAGUGCCUUUGAUACUGGCUGUCUGGAGGGAGGUAGGGGCGUGCGGAACUUCCGGUGGAGCGGUGAAAUGCGUAGAUAUCGGAAGGAACACCGGUGGCGAAAGCGGCACGCUGGACCUCUACUGACGCUGAGGCGCGAAAGCUAGGGGAGCAAACGGGAUUAGAUACCCCCGUAGUCC